RNAcentral lists this transfer RNA (71 nucleotides) under Rhodothermales bacterium. Its description in RNAcentral is "tRNA-Gln". It matches the Rfam family "tRNA". Rfam says of the family: Transfer RNA (tRNA) molecules are approximately 80 nucleotides in length. Lineage: Bacteria; Pseudomonadati; Rhodothermota; Rhodothermia; Rhodothermales. RNAcentral also lists the same sequence under 2 other names. The record is from RNAcentral.
AGCCCGAUCGUCUAACGGUAGGACAGCGCCCUUUGGAGGCGUACGUGGUGGUUCGAAUCCUCCUCGGGCUA